UGUAAGCGUAUACCAAAGUUGUUGCAGUUAAAACGCUCGUAGUCGGAAUUUGGCAGUUCCGGAUGUGUGCACGUCGUGUGCGCACUUCGCGGGGAUUGCUUUUGUGGUCUUGCGUAGGAUGAGGCACUUUUAUUAGUGAACGUCCUCACGCAACCACUUUUUACUGUGAGAAAAUCAGAGUGCUCAAAGCAGGCAUUUGCCGUGAAUGUAUUAGCAUGGAAUAAUAGAAUAGGACUUGGUUCUAUUUUGUUGGUUUGUUGGGACUGAGUAAUGAUUAAGAGGGACAGUUGGGGGCAUUCGUAUUUCGGUGCUAGAGGUGAAAUUCUUAGAUUACCGAAAGACAAACUGCUGCGAAAGCGUCUGCCAAGGAUGUUUUCAUUGA
RNAcentral lists this ribosomal RNA (382 nucleotides) under uncultured eukaryote. Its description in RNAcentral is "partial 18S ribosomal RNA". It matches the Rfam family "Eukaryotic small subunit ribosomal RNA", at positions 592 to 976 of the family's 1831-position model. The record is from RNAcentral.